Pipistrellus kuhlii (Kuhl's pipistrelle) is the source of this 776-nucleotide non-coding RNA. The record is from the annotation of a RefSeq genome assembly. Lineage: Eukaryota; Metazoa; Chordata; Mammalia; Chiroptera; Vespertilionidae.
CACAAGCUUGCCCUCCCAUGUUGGCUUGUAUUGGUUGGCUGUGUUAAAUGUGAGAAAAGGGGAGUGGCUUCUCUCCUGAAAAUGAAGGCCAGAUAGAGACAUUUCAGAAACCAGGCACAGCCCCCAGAGCUGGCAGACACCUGUGUGACACUGACAUGGGCCCUCAGCUCCUGGGCUGUGUCAUGCUUUGUCUCCUGGGAUCAGGUUCCACAGAAGCUGAAGUGACCCAGACCCCAAGACACCGCAUCACAAAGACCAAAAAGAAUUUGACAUUGACUUGUUCUCAGAAUAUGAACCAUGACGCAAUGUACUGGUAUCGACAAGACCCACGGCUGGGUCUAAAGCUGAUCUAUUAUUCAAUUAAUGUUGGUUAUUUUGAAAAGGGAGAGGUUUCUGAUGGGUACAAUGUGUCUCGAAAAGAGAAGAGGAAUUUCCCACUGACCCUGGAGUCAGCCAGCAUCAGCCAGACCUCUCUGUAUCUCUGUGCCAGCAGUCUAACCACAGCACUACAUGGCCAGCUGCUCUCCACACAAAAAAGGCAGCCACAGAGUAAGGAGGCUCCUCCCUCAGGAGGCCCCACCCAACCAGGAGGGAAACCUUCCACCAUCAGUGCCCAUAGUGCCUCCCAAGCCCCCAGCUUCUGGGCCUCUGAGGGAUGCAGACUCUCUGCAAUGUGUCCUGCUCUCACUUGCUAUACCAAUGUAGCUAGGGCUACAGUUCUUCUCAGCUCCCUCUACGAUGUGGUGUUUGCAUACCUGCCAACUAUCCUAACGUGA